GAUGAACGCUGGCGGCGUGCCUAACACAUGCAAGUCGAACGAACGGACGAUAAGCUUGUUCUCUUGAUGUUAGCGGCUGGCGGGUGAGUAACGCGUGGAUCACCUACUUAUAUUUCGGGGAGGAUUUCGUGAGACAGGCGCUAAUACCGCAUAAUAUUUUGAACCGCAUGGUGCAAAAGAGAAUCACGGCUUUGGUGUCUCUAUUAGCUGGUUCCGCGCUGCAUUAGCUAGUUGGUAAGGUAACGGCCUACCAAGGCUACGUUGCAUAUCCGAGCUGAGAGGAUGAUCGGCCACACUGGAACUGAGACACGGUCCAGACUCCUACGGGAGGCAGCAGUAGGGAAUCUUCGGCAAUGGGCGCAAGCCUGACGCAGCCACGCCGCGUGAGUGAAGAAGGUCUUCGGAUCGUAAAGCCCUGUUAUUGGGGAAGAAAAGCUGUGGAAUUAAACGUCGACAUCCUGACGGUACCUAAUCAAAAAGCCCCGGCUAACUACGUG
This 497-nucleotide ribosomal RNA is filed under the name uncultured bacterium. RNAcentral's name for it is "partial 16S ribosomal RNA". It matches the Rfam family "Bacterial small subunit ribosomal RNA", at positions 28 to 507 of the family's 1533-position model. The record is from RNAcentral.